Molecule: ribosomal RNA, 498 nt
Filed under: uncultured bacterium
Lineage: Bacteria
Description: partial 16S ribosomal RNA
Rfam family: Bacterial small subunit ribosomal RNA
Source: RNAcentral
GACGAACGCUGGCGGCGUGCCUAAUACAUGCAAGUCGAGCGGACGGAUGGUAGCUUGCUCCCGUACCGUCAGCGGCGGACGGGUGAGUAACACGUGGGCACCCUGCCUGUAAUUCUGGGAUAACUCCGGGAAACCGGGGCAAAUCCCGGAUAACUCUUUCCCUCCCUUGAGGGAAAGCUGAAAUAUGGCCUCUCGCUAUCACUUACAGAUGUGCCCGCGGCGCAUUAGCUAGGUGGUGAGGUAACGGCUCACCAAGGCGACGAUGCGGAGCCGACCUGAGAGGGUGAUCAGCCACACUGGGACUGAGACACGGCCCAGACUCCUACGGGAGGCAGCAGUAGGGAAUCUGGCGCAAUGGGCGAAAGUCUGACGGAGCAACGCCGCGUGCGUGAUGAAGGUUUUCGGAUCGUAAAACUCUGUUGUCAGGGAAGAAACAGUACCGGAGUAACUGCCGGUACGUUGACGGUACCUGACUAGAAAGCCACGGCUAACUUCGUG